RNAcentral lists this long non-coding RNA (694 nucleotides) under Pan troglodytes (chimpanzee). Its description in RNAcentral is "long non-coding RNA NONPTRT013179". Lineage: Eukaryota; Metazoa; Chordata; Mammalia; Primates; Hominidae. The record is from RNAcentral.
AAAGAGACCAAAAAAUUAUAUCAUGGUUCUUUAGUUGCAGGCAACAGAAGCCAACUCUGGGUAACAAGCAAAAAGGGAAGGAGAAGGAUGCAAGGGCUGCUCAGAGAAUAGAUAAUAUAAUAAAUAUUAAUGACAAUAAUAUGAGACUGAAGACACCACAUGCAAAGGUUACCAAAAACAAAGUUAAUAGACAAGGAGAAGACAGUUGCAGCAUCAAAAACAAAGGAUAAUAUUUACAUCAGUGCUGUCCACUAGAAAUGAAAUACGAAGGAAACUAAGAGAAUUACCAGUUGACCUAUGUUUAAAGAAUGACUGAGGAUAUUCUUCAAAGGAAAUGAUAACAGCAGGCAUAGAACUUUAGAAAGAAAGAAAGAACAAUGGAAUGAGAAAAAAUAGGGCUGUACUGCCUCUUUUGAUCAAUUUGCCCCAUUCAUGGUUAUGCAUGCUGAUGGAGACUGCUUUUGAAGCUUCUUUAUUGAAGGAGCGGGAGAAGAGUAAGAAAGUUGGAGCAGACUAAGAAGACAGGAAAGAAAGAAAAGCAAAAGUAAGAUAGAGACAGAGUCUCGCUCCAUCACCCAGGCUGGAGUGCAGUGUCAAGAUCUCAGCUCACUGCAACCUCUGCCUCCUGGAUUCAAGCGAUUCUCCUGCCUCAGCCUCCCGAGUAGCUGGGACUACAGGCAUAUGCCACCACGAC